AAGAUUGUACUUUCAGGGAUCAUUUCUAGAGUUCAUUACUAGAGAAUUUUCUCUGAACAUGUAAAGCCCGGGAAACCAGGAGGAGGCACAGCGUUCUCUCCUGAGUGCAAAGGCGGCUCUUGGUGUUGCUUUGCUGUAACUGCCAUUUGCUGUUGAUCGUUCUUUCCCUUUGAGGGAAAGAGGUUGAGGAUGUAGUCUGAAUGGU
Molecule: small nucleolar RNA, 205 nt
Filed under: Propithecus coquereli (Coquerel's sifaka)
Lineage: Eukaryota; Metazoa; Chordata; Mammalia; Primates; Indriidae
Description: Small nucleolar RNA U3 (ENSPCOG00000010510.1)
Rfam family: Small nucleolar RNA U3
About the family: Small nucleolar RNAs (snoRNAs) are involved in the processing and modification of rRNA in the nucleolus. There are two main classes of snoRNAs: the box C/D class, and the box H/ACA class.
Source: Rfam by way of RNAcentral